RNAcentral lists this transfer-messenger RNA (362 nucleotides) under Lysobacterales. Its description in RNAcentral is "WVWV01 sp011773845 Standard tmRNA". It matches the Rfam family "transfer-messenger RNA". Rfam says of the family: Bacterial tmRNA, also known as 10Sa RNA or SsrA, is named for its dual tRNA and mRNA-like properties. The record is from RNAcentral. Lineage: Bacteria; Pseudomonadati; Pseudomonadota; Gammaproteobacteria. RNAcentral also lists the same sequence under 2 other names.
GGGGGCGACCUGGCUUCGACGUGGGUCGUGAAACCCGAGGUGCAUGCCGAGCUGCAGUCAUCUCGUAAAACUGUUUGCAAAACGUAUAGUUGCCAACGACGACAACUACGCACUCGCCGCUUAAAAACCUGCCGUAGUGCCCUCCGCCCGGAGCGUGCCCGUGCGCGCCGGAACCCGGGGGUCGACCCACGCGGGAUCGCGGUGAAGCACGCCUGGUGUGGAGCCGUUAAAACUCAUCCAGGCUCGCUGAGGGUCUUCCCCGCCGACCGGGUAGCCAACAGUUAAAGCAAAGGCCGGCUAAGCAUGUAGAGCCGAAGGCGGAGGACUUGCGGACGCGGGUUCGAUUCCCGCCGCCUCCACCA